Molecule: long non-coding RNA, 331 nt
Organism: Uranotaenia lowii
Lineage: Eukaryota; Metazoa; Arthropoda; Insecta; Diptera; Culicidae
Exons: 2
Source: RefSeq, a predicted model, not a curated record
UGGAUCAACAAAUCAAAAACAAAAGAAAAAAGAAAAAAAAUCGCGGGAAAACAUGAACAAAUUUUCUCAUCCGAACGGCUCCAUCGUCGGUGUGGCAGGACCUCCGGAUUUGUUCCACAGCUCAUCUAACAGGAACACAUAGAAGUCGGACAAACGUACGAAGCUGGUUUAAGAAGGGAAUGGGACCCUGUAUUGAUCCAGUAGCUACGGCCUUCAGCUUGGGAUAAUUAUUCCCCAAGGCAAGCGAUUGGCGGAAAUAUGUUGACCAUAAUGUGUCAAGCGAAACAUAAAGACAUUUGUACAUAUCGAAUAAAUUAUGCAAAAAACAAAA